AGAAGAAGAAGAAAAAGAUGGACCGAAAUAAGUAAAAUUAUAAGUCUAAACGUACGAUAGGAAAAGCUUGCCAACGCCAAGUUCAAAAAUGAUUUCUACGAGAGUAGAUCGCAAUGAAAUAUAUAAGUAGCGAAUCUUCUCUAAAACUCCAUCCAUAAACAGAAGAAUUUUUACCUGAAAUAAUCGGCUAUACAUAAGCACGAAGAUAUUUUACUCAUACGGUAAUAACGCAAUUACGAAGUAAAGGUCGAGUCGUUUGACACGAUGAUCUUUCGGAGUAAUGCACAACGAUCGAUGAUGCGCCGCUCCUUAUUAACGAAGUCAUCGUAAACGAGAGACUUACCGAAGGGGCUGGCGCCAACCAGCUUGGAGUUUGAGCGCGUGGCCGUUCCACCAACAAUAAGCCCUCUGCUUUAUUAAACCAACACAAAUUGACCGAUUGUGCCUCCUCGAAGCACAAGUGUUCAGGGGGAUGAGAGGGUGCGGAUGGGGCCGAGGAUGGGGCCGAGGAUGGGGCCGAGGAUGGGGCCG
Polistes canadensis is the source of this 531-nucleotide long non-coding RNA. RefSeq lists it as uncharacterized. NCBI's taxonomy places the organism in Eukaryota, Metazoa, Arthropoda, Insecta, Hymenoptera, Vespidae. The transcript has 3 exons. The record is from RefSeq and is a predicted model, not a curated record.